GUGGGGAAUAUUGCACAAUGGGCGAAAGCCUGAUGCAGCAACGCCGCGUGAGCGAUGAAGGCCUUUGGGUCGUAAAGCUCUGUCCUUGGGGAAGAAAACAAUGACGGUACCCUUGGAGGAAGCCCCGGCUAACUACGUGCCAGCAGCCGCGGUAAUACGUAGGGGGCAAGCGUUAUCCGGAAUUAUUGGGCGUAAAGAGUGCGUAGGUGGUCUUGUAAGCGCGGGGUGAAAGGCUAUGGCUUAACCAUGGUAAGCCUUGCGAACUGUAAGACUUGAGUGCAGGAGAGGAAAGCGGAAUUCCUAGUGUAGCGGUGAAAUGCGUAGAUAUUAGGAGGAACACCAGUGGCGAAGGCGGCUUUCUGGACUGUAACUGACACUGAGGCACGAAAGCGUGGGGAGCAAACAGGAUUAGAUACCCCAGUAGUCC
RNAcentral lists this ribosomal RNA (427 nucleotides) under uncultured bacterium. RNAcentral's name for it is "partial 16S ribosomal RNA". It matches the Rfam family "Bacterial small subunit ribosomal RNA", at positions 354 to 796 of the family's 1533-position model. The record is from RNAcentral.